RNAcentral lists this non-coding RNA (219 nucleotides) under Bacillus sp. (in: firmicutes). RNAcentral describes it as "Bacillus sp. T-box sequence". It matches the Rfam family "T-box leader". Rfam says of the family: Uncharged tRNA acts as the effector for transcription antitermination of genes in the T-box leader family. T-boxes are found upstream of many aminoacyl-tRNA synthetase genes and some amino acid biosynthetic genes usually in Gram-positive bacteria. The anticodon of a specific tRNA base pairs to a specifier sequence within the T-box motif, and the NCCA acceptor tail of the tRNA base pairs to a conserved bulge in the T-box antiterminator hairpin. Lineage: Bacteria; Bacillati; Bacillota; Bacilli; Caryophanales; Bacillaceae. The record is from RNAcentral.
GAUGAACCAAUGACAAGGAAUAGUAGUUAAGGGUUAUAGAUGUAAAGAGAGGGCUGCCACGGCUGGAAGUAGCCUCAUCUACCGAAACGAAUGAACACCUUCGAGGCUUUUUUCCUGAACGAUUUAUUUAGUAGGGAUGAACGUAGCUGGCGUUAACAGAUAAAGUGGAGGCAUUGCCUCAAUUUGGGUGGUACCACGGGUUUAACUCUCGUCCCAGAU